RNAcentral lists this ribosomal RNA (433 nucleotides) under uncultured Denitrobacterium sp. RNAcentral's name for it is "partial 16S ribosomal RNA". It matches the Rfam family "Bacterial small subunit ribosomal RNA", at positions 341 to 792 of the family's 1533-position model. Lineage: Bacteria; Bacillati; Actinomycetota; Coriobacteriia; Eggerthellales; Eggerthellaceae. The record is from RNAcentral.
ACGGGAGGCAGCAGUGGGGAAUUUUGCGCAAUGGGGGCAACCCUGACGCAGCAACGCCGCGUGCGGGAUGACGGCCUUCGGGUUGUAAACCGCUUUCAGCAGGGAAGAUUAUGACGGUACCUGCAGAAGAAGCUCCGGCUAACUACGUGCCAGCAGCCGCGGUAAUACGUAGGGAGCGAGCGUUAUCCGGAUUCAUUGGGCGUAAAGCGCGCGUAGGCGGCUUGCCAAGCGGGAUCUCCAAUCUGGGGGCUCAACCUUCAGCCGGAUCCCGAACUGGCAGGCUCGAGUUCGGUAGAGGAAGACGGAAUUCCCAGUGUAGCGGUGAAAUGCGCAGAUAUUGGGAAGAACACCGAUGGCGAAGGCAGUCUUCUGGGCCGUAACUGACGCUGAGGUGCGAAAGCUAGGGGAGCGAACAGGAUUAGAUACCCUGGUA